AACGAACGCUGGCGGCAUGCCUAACACAUGCAAGUCGAACGAGACCUUCGGGUCUAGUGGCGCACGGGUGCGUAACGCGUGGGAACCUGCCCUUAGGUUCGGAAUAACUCCCCGAAAGGGGUGCUAAUACCGGAUAAUGUCUUCGGACCAAAGAUUUAUCGCCUUUGGAUGGGCCCGCGUUGGAUUAGCUAGUUGGUAGGGUAAAAGCCUACCAAGGUGACGGUCCAUAGCUGGUCUGAGAGGAUGAUCAGCCACACUGGGACUGAGACACGGCCCAGACUCCUACGGGAGGCAGCAGUGGGGAAUAUUGGACAAUGGGCGAAAGCCUGAUCCAGCAAUGCCGCGUGAGUGAUGAAGGCCUUAGGGUUGUAAAGCUCUUUUACCCGGGAUGAUAAUGACAGUACCGGGAGAAUAAGCUCCGGCUAACUCCGUG
RNAcentral lists this ribosomal RNA (433 nucleotides) under uncultured bacterium. Its description in RNAcentral is "partial 16S ribosomal RNA". It matches the Rfam family "Bacterial small subunit ribosomal RNA", at positions 29 to 507 of the family's 1533-position model. The record is from RNAcentral.